This 70-nucleotide transfer RNA is filed under the name Ictidomys tridecemlineatus (thirteen-lined ground squirrel). RNAcentral describes it as "Spermophilus tridecemlineatus (thirteen-lined ground squirrel) tRNA". It matches the Rfam family "tRNA". From Rfam's summary of the family: Transfer RNA (tRNA) molecules are approximately 80 nucleotides in length. The record is from Rfam by way of RNAcentral. Lineage: Eukaryota; Metazoa; Chordata; Mammalia; Rodentia; Sciuridae.
GGGGAUAUAGCUCAGUUCAUAGAGCACCUGCCUCAAAUGCACAAGGCCCUGGGUUCAAUUCCCAGCACCA